Molecule: ribosomal RNA, 442 nt
Filed under: uncultured bacterium
Lineage: Bacteria
Description: partial 16S ribosomal RNA
Rfam family: Bacterial small subunit ribosomal RNA
Source: RNAcentral
CCUACGGGAGGCAGCAGUGGGGAAUAUUGGGCAAUGGAGGCAACUCUUACCCAGCAAUGCCGCGUGAAUGAAGAAGGUCUUCGGAUUGUAAAGUUCUUUAAUUGGGGACGAAAAAAAUGACGGUACCCAAGGAAUAAGCCCCGGCUAACUACGUGCCAGCAGCCGCGGUAAUACGGAGGAUGCGAGCGUUAUCCGGAUUUAUUGGGUUUAAAGGGUGCGCAGGCGGAGGCACAAGUCAGCGGUAAAAUCGCGGGGCUCAACCCCGCUCCGCCGUUGAAACUGUGUCCCUUGAGUGCGCGAAGGGUAGGCGGAAUGCGUGGUGUAGCGGUGAAAUGCAUAGAUAUCACGCAGAACUCCGAUCGCGAAGGCAGCCUACCGGCGCGCAACUGACGCUCAUGCACGAAAGCGUGGGUAUCGAACAGGAUUAGAUACCCCUGUAGUC